Long non-coding RNA from Homo sapiens (human), 4621 nucleotides. Ensembl annotates it as long intergenic non-protein coding RNA 174. The record is from Ensembl. NCBI's taxonomy places the organism in Eukaryota, Metazoa, Chordata, Mammalia, Primates, Hominidae.
CUGGAGUGCAGUGGCAUGAUCUUGGCUCACUUCAACCUUCACCCCCUCCCCCGCCCCCUGCCGGGUUCAAGUGAUUCCCAUGUUUCAGCUUCCUGAGUAGCUGAGAUUGCAGGCAUGCGCCACCACACCUGUCUAAUUUUUGUAGAGACGGGGUUUCACCAUGUUGGCCAGGCUGGUCUGGAACUCCUGACUUGAAGUAAUCUGCCCACCUCGGCUUCCCAAAGUGCUGGGAUUACAGGCGUGAGCCACUGCGCCUGGCCCCUUCAGGUGGGUAUUGAGGCUUCACUACAAUACUAGUUCCCCGUUGCUGCCGCAAUAAAUUACCACACACUUAGUGGCUUAAAACAGCAUAGAGGUAUUCCUUUACAUUUCUGAAGGCCAGAAUUCUAAAGUCAGUCCCACUGAGUCAAGGUGGGAGCAGGGUCAGUGCCUUUCCAGGCUCUGCGGGAGAAUCCGUUUCCUGGCCCUGGAGGCGGCCUGUACUCCUCAGCUUGUGCUGCCCUUCUCGAAUGACUCGCGUUUCCUGCUUUCAUCACUACACCUCCCACCGCUCUCCAUCACCUGCUCUGCUCUUAUAAGGAUCCAGAGAAAUGGAAUAAUCUUAUUGCUGAUCUAUGUAAACAAGUUGAAGAAUUGUCUGAAAGAAAAUACAGUGUGUCUAAACUGGAAAAGUCCUGUAAUAGUUUGUUCAUGAGCAUUUACACAGUGGAGUUACUGUUCAUCAUGGGGGUACUGUGGACAAGCCCAGGGCUGCUGUAGAGACAAGAGUUUUUCCAUGUAGGCCCGGCUGGCCUCGAACUCCUGACCUCAAGUGAUCCACCUGCCUCCCAAAGUGGGAUUACAGAUACAUGAAGUUAUGAAUUUAAGAUGUGAAGAUUUACAGCUUGAUAAACCAGCUUCAGGAGACAUGAUCUUAUGAAUUCAACACAUGAAGAUUUACAACUUGAUAAACCAGCUUCAGGAGAUCAGAACUUCUUAUAAUACAACUGACGUUACUCAGCCUAGAACAAAUACAACAGGGAUUGUGCUGCAUUCUGACUUGGAUUCUGCCAUCGAACACAGAAUGCCCUGAUCCUUAGAUGCAGAGGCAGCUCUUCAGCCUAUGGGGGCUGCUGUAAAAUAUUACAGGCAUACUUUGGAGAUGUUACGGGUUUGGUUCCACAUCACUGCAAUAAAGCCUUCCAGAUAUACAGUCAUAUUUCUUAUAUUACACGACUCCAGCGGGAGGAAGAAGAGGCCUUUGCCAGCAGUCAGAGCAGCCAAGGGGCCCAAUCCCUCACAUUCUCCAAGUUUGAAGGAAAGAAAACCAACGAGAAGACCCGCAAGAUUACCACAGUGAAGAAAUCUUCAGUACGUCUUCCAGGGUCGGAUCAAAGAAGGCUGAAAUUCAGGAAGCAAAAGCUCCCAGUCCUUCCAUAAACCGGCAAACCAGCAUUGAAAUGGAUAGAGUGUCUAAGGAGUUCAUAGAAUUUCUCAAGACCUUCUGCAAGACAGGCCAAGAAAUCUAUAAACUGACCAAGCUGUUUUUGGAAGGGAUGCAUUACAAAAGGUGCCUCCAGAAUGAGUUGAGAAGAUAAAUGGAUCAGAUUGAAAAGUACAUCAUGACUCAUCUCUAUAAAUAUGUGUUCUGUCCAGAAACUACUGAUGAUGAGAUGAAAGAUCUUGCCAUUCAAAAGAGGAUCAGAGUGGAAGCUGCUCUGUGGUGUCAGAAAGACAAGGAAUGUGGUGACCUCACCUAUCCAUCUCCCUCAAGGCAGCUUUUGAGCCCUUCACUGGGUUACACCUCAGAUGCUGUGUGUCCCUGUUAAUGAAGACAUCCCAGAAGUGUCUGAUACGGUGUUGAAGGCAAUCACAGGGAUUGUGCUGCAUUCUGACUUAGAUUCUGCCAUCAAAAACAGAAUGCCCUGAUCCUUAGAGGCAGAGGCAGCUCUUCAGCCUAUGGGCUUAAGCUCUUGGACUCACUGAGGCAGUAAAAGAACCAUAUCCUGUGUUUGAAUCAAACCCCGAGUUCCUGUAUGUUUAGAAGGUUUGCCAGACAGGAUUCCCUUUUGAAGCCCUCCUGGUUUGGAAUUCCAUGACUUAAAAGGAUCGUCCGUGGGAGUAAUAACAUCAAGUCUGUUGGUAAAAACUUCGCAGUUUCUAAAAAGACCACGAAGCCCUGAGAGUAAUGAAAAGGUUCCUGAAAUUGAGGUCACUGUGGAAGAAGGAAACGUGUCAUGUACCAGCUAUCCAUCCAAUGACUGCCCAUCAGUUCCAUAUUCACCCUUCACUGCCUGAUCUGCAAACAUAGAGGAGAAUCUAAUGCCUGAUGAACUGUCAUUGUCUCCCAUCACCCCCAGAUGGGACCAUCUAGUUGCAGGAAAAGAAGGUCAAGACUCCCACUCAUUCUACAUUAUGUCUUCCUGUGUUGCCCAGGCUGGAGCACAGUGGUUUGAUCUUGGCUCACUGCAGUCUCAACCUCUCAGGCUCAAGCUAUCCUUCUGCCUCAGACUCUGGGGUAGCUGGGACAACAGCCUCAGCCAAGAUGUCUCACCCUACUCUCUAUGAUGCAACAAGAAGCCCCUGGGGAAUGUUUCAGUCCCAGUCUGUACUAUUGUCAUGUGCUCAUCACAGUCUGGUGGAAUUUAAAUGACCUUUUAUCAAGAUGGAUAAACGCAAGUUUCCCAGUGCUGGAAUACAGAAAAUGGAUGGACAACUGGAUCUACCAUGAAAGACUUCAGAGUCCAGGAAGAGAGACUGACUGGGCAACAUGUUAUUCAGUUACAAAAAGACUUGGACUAUGACUCAAAAAUGAUCAAAUAAUAGUUCAUGCAUCAAAUGCAAUAGGAAGUACUUCUGGAGGGUGAGAGAAGCAUCCAGUUAAGGUGACAUUGAAGCUGGGUCCUGAAAGAUGAGGAAGAAUUGUAUGAGAGUGGGCAGAGAAGGGGGAGGUGGAGGGAUGGGGAAUGGGCUGGGAUGGAGUGAGCUGCUCAAGUAGGGAGACCAGCACUGUAAAGACCUGGACGAUAAAGACGGCACAUUUUAUUCAGGGAAUGGUGAAUUAAGUGUGGCAGGAAUGCUUUGGAGAGAUAGUAAUUUGCUUGUAUGGAAUUUUGCCCAAGAGGCCUCAUUACAGUUUCUAAUCUUUUGAUGUUAUCAUCUAUCACUGUCCUUGCCAAAUAGUUUGGAAUAGGUAUAAUGAUCACAAUAACAUCAAGCAUAAUAUUUCAUUAAUUCUCACAAAAUCACAGGUAGGUGCCACAGUUAUCCCCAUUUUGUGAAUGAAGUGAUGAAGACUUAGGAAUAAUGAGUGAUUUGCCCAAGCUCACCUGGAUAUUAAGACUGAGUCAAAUGUGGGGUCUGGUCUGACUUUAAUGUUUGCUUUGUUCAUGAGCACCACGUAUUGCCUCUCCUAUGCAGUUAAGCAGGUAGACAGGUGAAAGAAAAGCCCAUGUUAGUCUCUACUCACACACUUCCGACUGAAUGUGUGUGUGGAAUUUCUACACCAAGUUCUCCAAUGCUCUGGAUAUUAACUGGGUAUCCUACAAUUUUAUUCUGACACUUCCUGGAGUUGGCGUAGACCCCACAGGUUACGGGCUCAGUCCCACAAGACCACCCUUGCUUCACAUUGCAAUGGCAAGUCCUAGGUUGUCACCUGCACUUUUGACCAACCUGUUACAAAUCAGGGGUUCCCAUGACCCCCUCUUGGGGUUUAAUCAUUUGCUAGAGCAGCUUACAGAACUCAGAAAAACAGUUUGUUUCCUUUUUUUCUGAGAGACAGGGUCUCAUUUUGUUGUCCAGGCUGGUGUGCAGUGGUGCAGUCAUAGCUCACUGCAGCCUUGACUGCCUGGGCUCAAGUGGUCCUCCCACCUCAGCCUCCCUAGUAGCUGAGACUACAUGCUUGCACCACCAUUUCUGGCUAAUUUAUUUUUUGUAGAUAUGGCGUCUUGUUAUGUUGCACAGGUUGGCCACAAAUUCCUGGGCCCAAGCAAUCCUCCCACCGCAGCCUCUUUGAAGUGCUGGGAUUACAGAUGUGAGCCACCACAUUUCCUAUUACUGGUUCCUUGUAAAGGAUACAUCGCAGAAACAGCUAAUGAAAGAGAUGUAUGUGCCAGAUGCAGUGGCUCACGCUGUAAUCCCAACACUUUGGGAGGCCGAGGUAGGAGGAUUGCUUAAACUUAGGAGUUUGAGACCAGCCUGGGCAACACGGUGAAACCCUGUCUCUGUAAAAAAUUUUUAAAAAGCUGGGCACGGUGGCUCAAGCCUGUAAUCCCAGCACUCUGGGAGGCCAAGGUGGGUGAAUCACGAGGUCAGGAGUUGAAGACCAGUCUGACAAACAUGGUGAAACCCCGUCUCAACUAAAAAUGCAAAAGUUAGCCAGGUGUGGUGGCACGCACGUACAAUCCCAGCUACUUAGGAGGCUGAGGCAGGAGAAUCGCUUGAACCUGGGAGGUGGAGGUUGCAGUGAGCUGAGAUCACACCACUGCACUUUAGCCUGGGCAACAGAGCUAGACUCUUGUCUCAGUAAAUAAAUUAACCGAGUGCGGUGGUGUGCAGUUACUAAUUCCAGUUACUACAGAACUAGACUCCAUCUCAAUAAAUUAAAUAAAUAAAUAAAUAAAUAAAUGAAUAAAUAACUGAG